RNAcentral lists this ribosomal RNA (466 nucleotides) under uncultured bacterium. Its description in RNAcentral is "partial 16S ribosomal RNA". It matches the Rfam family "Bacterial small subunit ribosomal RNA", at positions 29 to 506 of the family's 1533-position model. The record is from RNAcentral.
ACGAACGCUGGCGGCGCGCUUAACACAUGCAAGUCGAACGAGAUCCAUCCAGUAGCAAUACUGGUGAAGAUCUAGUGGCGAACGGGUGAGUAACACGUGAGAAACCUGCCUCAAAGACCGGGAUAACCCACCGAAAGGUGUGCUAAUACCGGAUACCUUCACGACAUCGAAUGGUGAUGUGAAGAAAGGAUUCCGCUUUGAGAGGGUCUCGCGGCCUAUCAGCUUGUUGGUGAGGUAACGGCUCACCAAGGCGACGACGGGUAGCUGUUCUGAGAGGAAGAUCAGCCACACUGGAACUGAGACACGGUCCAGACUCCUACGGGAGGCAGCAGUGGGGAAUCUUGCGCAAUGGGCGAAAGCCUGACGCAGCGACGCCGCGUGCGGGAAGACGGCCUUCGGGUUGUAAACCGCUUUCAGCAGGGACGAAAUUGACGGUACCUGCAGAAGAAGCUCCGGCCAACUACGU